AGGUAGAGGGGUUUUAGUCGGUAGGUCCGAGGACUUCUUCCUCGGGAAUCCGACACUAGUCAGUCGUUCGGAUGACUGGGUGUCUUCUGAAGAUUUCCCCUCUUCC
This is a non-coding RNA of Agrilus planipennis (emerald ash borer), 106 nucleotides long. Lineage: Eukaryota; Metazoa; Arthropoda; Insecta; Coleoptera; Buprestidae. The record is from Rfam.